RNAcentral lists this ribosomal RNA (517 nucleotides) under uncultured Lachnospiraceae bacterium. RNAcentral describes it as "partial 16S ribosomal RNA". The record is from RNAcentral. Lineage: Bacteria; Bacillati; Bacillota; Clostridia; Lachnospirales; Lachnospiraceae.
CACGUAGUUAGCCGGGGCUUCUUAGUCAGGUACCGUCAUUUUCUUCCCUGCUGAUAGAGCUUUACAUACCGAAAUACUUCAUCGCUCACGCGGCGUCGCUGCAUCAGGGUUCCCCCAUUGUGCAAUAUCCCCCACUGCUGCCUCCCGUAGGAGUUUGGGCCGUGUCUCAGUCCCAAUGUGGCCGUUCACCCUCUCAGGCCGGCUACUGAUCGUCGCCUUGGUGGGCCGUUACCCCACCAACCAGCUAAUCAGACGCGGGUCCAUCUCAUACCACCGGAGUUUUUACCACUGUACCAUGCAGUACUGUGGUCUUAUGCGGUAUUAGCAGUCAUUUCUAACUGUUAUCCCCCUGUAUGAGGCAGGUUACCCACGCGUUACUCACCCGUCCGCCGCUCAGUCAAAUUUACCUUUCCUCCCCGAAAGAAUACAAAAGCAAAAGUCGACUUCGCUCGACUUUGCAUGUGUUAGGCAGCCGCCAGCGUUCAUCCUGAGCCAGGGACUCCAAAACUCCUCUUAC